This 301-nucleotide ribosomal RNA is filed under the name uncultured bacterium. RNAcentral's name for it is "partial 16S ribosomal RNA". It matches the Rfam family "Bacterial small subunit ribosomal RNA", at positions 509 to 807 of the family's 1533-position model. The record is from RNAcentral.
CAGCAGCCACGGGAACACGAAGGGUGCAAGCGUUACUCGGAAUUACUGGGCGUAAAGGGCUCGCAGGCGGUUUCUUAAGUCUGAUGUGAAAGCCCCCGGCUCAACCGGGGAGGGUCAUUGGAAACUGGGAAACUUGAGUGCAGAAGAGGAGAGUGGAAUUCCACGUGUAGCGGUGAAAUGCGUAGAGAUGUGGAGGAACACCAGUGGCGAAGGCGACUCUCUGGUCUGUAACUGACGCUGAGGAGCGAAAGCGUAGGGAGCGAACAGGAUUAGAUACCCGCGUAGUCCCUGUCUCUUAUAC